GACGAACGCUGGCGGCGUGCUUAACACAUGCAAGUCGAACGGAAAGGCCCUGCUUUUGUGGGGUGCUCGAGUGGCGAACGGGUGAGUAACACGUGAGUAACCUGCCCUUGACUUUGGGAUAACUUCAGGAAACUGGUGCUAAUACCUGAUAGGAGCUCCUGCUGCAUGGUGGGGGUUGGAAAGUUUCGGCGGUUGGGGAUGGACUCGCGGCUUAUCAGCUUGUUGGUGGGGUAGUGGCUUACCAAGGCUUUGACGGGUAGCCGGCCUGAGAGGGUGACCGGCCACAUUGGGACUGAGAUACGGCGCAGACUGCUACGGGAGGCAGCAGUGGGGAAUAUUGCACAAUGGGCGGAAGCCUGAUGCAGCAACGCCGCGUGCGGGAUGACGGCCUUCGGGUUGUAAACCGCUUUAGCCUGUGACGAAGCGUGAGUGACGGUAAUGGGUAAAGAAGCACCGGCUAACUACGUG
Molecule: ribosomal RNA, 468 nt
Filed under: uncultured bacterium
Lineage: Bacteria
Description: partial 16S ribosomal RNA
Rfam family: Bacterial small subunit ribosomal RNA
Source: RNAcentral